GGCCCUUUCUGGAGCUGGUGAUCCUUCUCAAAAGUCUACAGUAACCCUAGCAAAUCAUGAUAGUUUAUCACAGGCUUUAUUAUUCUAUAAUGAUUGAGAAAGGAUGGAUAAAAUUUUGAUAGUGAAUUGAGGAUAGUAUGUUAGAUGUGUGCCCUAGAUGCUAGAUUGGCUGACACAUUUCUGUACAAAUGUAAGGGCAAAUUUAUAAUUUUGACUAUAAAUGAAUAAAAGGGUUAUUCUACUAUCACAUU
This 251-nucleotide long non-coding RNA is filed under the name Elaeis guineensis (African oil palm). RNAcentral describes it as "long non-coding RNA (EGUI_LNC075018)". The record is from RNAcentral. Lineage: Eukaryota; Viridiplantae; Streptophyta; Magnoliopsida; Arecales; Arecaceae.